GGCAGAAAUUUGGGCUCUUGAAACUGCUAAAUAGCAAAAUUAAUGUUCAAUAUAAUACCCAGCACAAAAAACCAAUUUGUUGAAUCCAAAAGGUGAAUAACAAAAAAAUAGAAAUAAAACCUCCACCCUUUGCAGAAUAAUGAAACUAAAUAAGUGUUCAAGGAACCAGACAUGAUUGCAUUUGAAUUUUAAAAAACGAUGCUAAUAUAGUAUAUAAAUAUUAAUUAAAAAUAUUUAGUUCCAAAACACCUAAUCACCUGUCAAAUUAUAAUGGUUUCCAAUCAAAUGUCCUAUGUAAAUAAUACUUCAACCUAUGAACGUGAAGCAUCCAUUCUGCCAACUAGGUCGUAAGUUGCCCUCAAUUAUUGGAUAUAGCCCAGAUUUUCACAUUACCAAC
Molecule: unclassified non-coding RNA, 397 nt
Filed under: Hevea brasiliensis (rubber tree)
Lineage: Eukaryota; Viridiplantae; Streptophyta; Magnoliopsida; Malpighiales; Euphorbiaceae
Source: RNAcentral